UACGAAGGGUGCAAGCGUUACUCGGAAUUACUGGGCGUAAAGGGUGCGUAGGUGGUUGUUUAAGUCUGCUGUGAAAGCCCCGGGCUCAACCUGGGAAUGGCAGUGGAUACUGGACAGCUAGAGUGCGGUAGAGGGUAGUGGAAUUCCCGGUGUAGCAGUGAAAUGCGUAGAGAUCGGGAGGAACACCAGUGGCGAAGGCGGCGACCUGGGUAGAUACUGACGCUGAGGUGCGAAAGCGUGGGGAGCAAACAGG
This 253-nucleotide ribosomal RNA is filed under the name uncultured bacterium. RNAcentral's name for it is "partial 16S ribosomal RNA". It matches the Rfam family "Bacterial small subunit ribosomal RNA", at positions 524 to 776 of the family's 1533-position model. The record is from RNAcentral.